Long non-coding RNA from Prunus persica (peach), 1663 nucleotides. RefSeq lists it as uncharacterized. The transcript is spliced from 2 exons. The record is from RefSeq and is a predicted model, not a curated record. Lineage: Eukaryota; Viridiplantae; Streptophyta; Magnoliopsida; Rosales; Rosaceae.
UGACUGCCCUAGUCUCCCCCUUGCUAUGGCAAAGGACAAAUGGGUGGAGUUGCUUUAGGUGUUGUGCUCGGGCUCACGAAUUCAUAGACAUGUGAUGAGUCCAAAUCGGAAUUAAAACAAAAACGUUUUGGUCAACAAAAUUACAGUGGCGCAAUCAUAAUUUUUGCGAAGUUCAAAUUUAAAUACCCAGCUCUCUCUCUCUCUCCUCCAGCAGCGACUCUUUCUCUCUCUCGUUUCUCUCUCUUCGCGCAAACAGACCAGCCGCUUUAGAAGGCGAAUUCUCCCAACUCCAGCGACCGUUUCAGGCGAGACCGGUCCCAAAAUCUUCGUCUCGACGUCCUCCUUCUAGCCUAGUCAUUUUCACAGCUUGAAAACCCAAGGAUUUUGGGCUGGAACGACGUGAAGUUUCGGCUGAAACUUCCACCGUCGCCAUCGCCGGCUCCGGCCACCUCAGGCCCCGCCAUCACGUGGAUCAGGUUCGUCCCCUCUCCCUCUUCCUUUUCCCUAGGUUGCGCGACACCAUGGUUGGCCAUAGAGGGCAGCCUGAGCGCAAAAAAUUCAUGAGAUGUAUAGAGGGAGAGAGACAGAGAGACAGAAAGACAGAGAAGAAGAGAAGGAAAUCAUAAGAGAUUAGCUAGAAAAUAGUAUUAGAAUGAAGUAAAGGCAACAGCAAACCUGCUGAGUGUUUGAAAAUGCAUCUCCUCCAUUCAGGCAGACAUACAAUCCUGUCAUAGAGCGGAGAAGAGCACGCAGGUCUAUCCCACAUGAUUAUAUCUCAGCACCAAGCUUUAAAUAUACAAUAUAUUUAUAGAAACAAAUAUAUGUAACUGAACCUCAAGCUCAAGGCCAAGUGGACUGUUCAAUUCAGUCCUUUGCACUGUGAUCUGGUCAUGGUCACAAAGUCAAGGAAGAUGCAGUAACACAAAGCCCCUCACCCCAACCCCACAAAGGGAAAUUAGAGAUAGAAGGAAAUAGUGAUCUGAUCUGAUGCACAAAGACUAGCACAUUACUUUGAACAAAUAAAUGAACUUUUUGUCAAUGGAGAACUCCUGUGCUUCCUUAAGAUUUACAACCUGUUACAGGACAUUUGCCCUGUAACUUAUCAACUCUUGAGGUGCUUUCUGCAUCUUCUAAUUAUUUGAAUGGGAGCAUUCCAGAUAUUUUCAGCCAGCUGACAGAAUUAACAGAGAUUUGAUUCGCGGGCAAUUCUCUGUCUGGUAUGAUUCCACCCUCCAUCUUCAAUCUGUCUUCUCUCAUAAGAUUUUCUCUGCAACCAAAUGAAAUCCAAGUAUCAAUAUCUAAUGCCUCAAGUCGAGGUCAUCUAGGAAUGCAAGGAAACAGCCUACAUUGUAAAGUCCCAUCUUUGGCAAAUUUGCACAAGCUUGAGAGAUUUUCUCUUACCUCCAACAAUCUAGGAAGUGGGAGACUUAAUGACUUGAGCUUUAUCUGACACCUAGGCAUUAAUAUGAACAAUUUUUGGGGUUUCUUACCUGAAUGCACAGCACUCUUGCACGGUUCUACGUAAGUGACAAUAAAUUAGUAGGAAGACUCCCAAAUGGGAUUGGAAAUUUAGUUAACUUGGAGAGCCUAUUUCUGUCUAUGAACCAAUUUCAGGUUUAACAUAUUUUCUUCUUGUUGAUCAAGCUCAGGUAUUAAAAAUCGA